Prinia subflava (tawny-flanked prinia) is the source of this 1106-nucleotide RNA transcript. It is a transcript of the gene named PAXX non-homologous end joining factor, with no coding region annotated. The record is from RefSeq and is a predicted model, not a curated record. The transcript has 7 exons. NCBI's taxonomy places the organism in Eukaryota, Metazoa, Chordata, Aves, Passeriformes, Cisticolidae.
GCCCGCCCCUUCUUCCGCCUGCCCCUUCCACCGCCUCUUCCGCCGCGGCCAUGGCGGAACCGGCAGGGCCCUUCCAUCUGCUCCGAGCCAGGACGGGCCGGUUCCUCUGCUACUGCGGACGCGACGGUGCCGUCUAUGUGACCGACGCGGUGGAGGUGUGGGCCGGGGAGCUCGGAGCCUGCCUGGCGCUCGGUUGUCGGUGCUCGCCGGAGGAGCACGGCGCGAUGCUCAGGGCCGCCCUGGGCCACGGGGGCGCCGCGCUGAGCCUGGGCCCAGGUUCGGCCACGCUACGGCUGCCGGAGGAGCCGCGGUGCCCAGCCUUAGCCCUCGCCCAGCUGCCCGCUGCUGAGGCGCGUAGCCAGCUGCAGGCACUGAUUUUCGGCAUGGCCGGCCGCAUCGAGAGCCUGGAGAGGCGCCUGGAAGUAGCAGUGGAGACAUUAGCAUCUUCCUGCAGCCCUGAGAAGAAUGCUGUCCAGAGCCAGCAGCUCUUCCUGCCAGGCUGGGCUCCUGGAGGCUCUCCCUGGCCCUGGAGGGACUGGCAGGGCUUCCAGAACUCCUGGGUAACCUGUAGUCUGUGUCCUGCUCGUUCCUGACUGAGGCAGACCCCAGCCCCAGGAAGAGUAGGGCUUCCAGCUCAGCUUUGCCAGCCAAAAGGAAGGUGCCCGGGGAAUCUCUCAUUAACCCUGGUUUCAAAAGCAAGAAGGUGUCAUCUGGAGUGAAUUUUGAGGACUCCUGAUAGGUGCUGUCCUGUGCCCUGAUGACAGCCCUAUGGACACCUACAUCUGAACAAGGAUGUGUCCCUGUUGUUCCAGACUAGCUGAGCUCCUCGACCCAGGAAGACAACAGAGCCAGCUGUACCUGGCAGCCACCCCUCAGCUAGGGUGGUGGCAGGGCCUUUGGAGGGGGACAGAUGGAGCAGAGGGGACACCAGCCUGGUGGGUUUUUCCCCUGCAGCUCUUCCCUGCUGGCAGGGGCCAACUCCUGACCUCACUUACCAUGAACUGGUAGAGUUUGGGUGGAGCUUUGAUACUGGAAUGGAAAGAUCACCUGUGCUUUGCUUCUUACCAAUAAAGGUAUUUUUAGCCAGCUGGUCUCUAGGUGUGUCU